UAGGUAGGACGUGUCGGCU
RNAcentral lists this small RNA (19 nucleotides) under Arabidopsis thaliana (thale cress). RNAcentral's name for it is "Ath_wt_21688". The record is from RNAcentral. Lineage: Eukaryota; Viridiplantae; Streptophyta; Magnoliopsida; Brassicales; Brassicaceae.